ACCAUCCUAAGGUAGCGAAAUUCCUUGUCGGGUAAGUUCCGACCUGCACGAAUGGCGUAACGAUGGCCACACUGUCUCCUCCCGAGACUCAGCGAAGUUGAAAUGGUUGUGAAGAUGCAAUCUCCCCGCUGCUAGACGGAAAGACCCCGUGAACCUUUACUGUAGCUUUGCAUUGGACUUUGAAGUCACUUGUGUAGGAUAGGUGGGAGGCUUAGAAGCAGAAACGCCAGUUUCUGUGGAGCCGUCCUUGAAAUACCACCCUGGUGGCUUUGAGGUUCUAACCCAGACCCGUAAUCCGGGUCGGGGACCGUGCAUGGUAGGCAGUUUGACUGGGGCGGUCUCCUCCCAAAGAGUAACGGAGGAGUUCGAAGGUUACCUAGGUCCGGUCGGAAAUCGGACUGAUAGUGCAAUGGCAAAAGGUAGCUUAACUGCGAGACCGACAAGUCGAGCAGGUGCGAAAGCAGGACAUAGUGAUCCGGUGGUUCUGUAUGGAAGGGCCAUCGCUCAACGGAUAAAAGGUACUCCGGGGAUAACAGGCUGAUACCGCCCAAGAGUUCAUAUCGACGGCGGUGUUUGGCACCUCGAUGUCGGCUCAUCUCAUCCUGGGGCUGUAGCCGGUCCCAAGGGUAUGGCUGUUCGCCAUUUAAAGAGGUACGUGAGCUGGGUUUAAAACGUCGUGAGACAGUUUGGUCCCUAUCUGCUGUGGGCGUUGGAGAUUUGACGGGGGCUGCUCCUAGUACGAGAGGACCGGAGUGGACACACCUCUGGUGUACCUGUUGUCACGCCAGUGGCAUCGCAGGGUAGCUAAGUGUGGAAGAGAUAACCGCUGAAAGCAUCUAAGCGGGAAACUUGCCUGAAGAUGAGAUCUCCCUGGGGACUCGAUCCCCCUGAAGGGUCGUCCAAGACCAGGACGUUGAUAGGCCGGGUGUGGAAGCGCAGUAAUGCGUGCAGCUAACCGGUACUAAUUGCCCGUGAGGCUUGACCCU
RNAcentral lists this ribosomal RNA (986 nucleotides) under human metagenome. Its description in RNAcentral is "bacterial LSU rRNA". It matches the Rfam family "Bacterial large subunit ribosomal RNA", at positions 1945 to 2925 of the family's 2925-position model. The record is from RNAcentral.